AAUGGGUCAGCGACUUAUAUUCUGUAGCAAGGUUAACCGAAUAGGGGAGCCGAAGGGAAACCGAGUCUUAACUGGGCGUUAAGUUGCAGGGUAUAGACCCGAAACCCGGUGAUCUAGCCAUGGGCAGGUUGAAGGUUGGGUAACACUAACUGGAGGACCGAACCGACUAAUGUUGAAAAAUUAGCGGAUGACUUGUGGCUGGGGGUGAAAGGCCAAUCAAACCGGGAGAUAGCUGGUUCUCCCCGAAAGCUAUUUAGGUAGCGCCUCGUGAAUUCAUCUCCGGGGGUAGAGCACUGUUUCGGCAAGGGGGUCAUCCCGACUUACCAACCCGAUGCAAACUGCGAAUACCGGAGAAUGUUAUCACGGGAGACACACGGCGGGUGCUAACGUCCGUCGUGAAGAGGGAAACAACCCAGACCGCCAGCUAAGGUCCCAAAGUCAUGGUUAAGUGGGAAACGAUGUGGGAAGGCCCAGACAGCCAGGAUGUUGGCUUAGAAGCAGCCAUCAUUUAAAGAAAGCGUAAUAGCUCACUGGUCGAGUCGGCCUGCGCGGAAGAUGUAACGGGGCUAAACCAUGCACCGAAGCUGCGGCAGCGACACUAUGUGUUGUUGGGUAGGGGAGCGUUCUGUAAGCCUGUGAAGGUGUACUGUGAGGUAUGCUGGAGGUAUCAGAAGUGCGAAUGCUGACAUAAGUAACGAUAAAGCGGGUGAAAAGCCCGCUCGCCGGAAGACCAAGGGUUCCUGUCCAACGUUAAUCGGGGCAGGGUGAGUCGACCCCUAAGGCGAGGCCGAAAGGCGUAGUCGAUGGGAAACAGGUUAAUAUUCCUGUACUUGGUGUUACUGCGAAGGGGGGACGGAGAAGGCUAUGUUGGCCGGGCGACGGUUGUCCCGGUUUAAGCGUGUAGGCUGAUUUUCCAGGCAAAUCCGGAAAAUCAAGGCUGAGGCGUGAUGACGAGGCACUACGGUGCUGAAGCAACAAAUGCCCUGCUUCCAGGAAAAGCCUCUAAGCAUCAGGUAACAUCAAAUCGUACCCCAAACCGACACAGGUGGUCAGGUAGAGAAUACCAAGGCGCUUGAGAGAACUCGGGUGAAGGAACUAGGCAAAAUGGUGCCGUAACUUCGGGAGAAGGCACGCUGAUAUGUAGGUGAAGCGACUUGCUCGUGGAGCUGAAAUCAGUCGAAGAUACCAGCUGGCUGCAACUGUUUAUUAAAAACACAGCACUGUGCAAACACGAAAGUGGACGUAUACGGUGUGACGCCUGCCCGGUGCCGGAAGGUUAAUUGAUGGGGUUAGCGGUAACGCGAAGCUCUUGAUCGAAGCCCCGGUAAACGGCGGCCGUAACUAUAACGGUCCUAAGGUAGCGAAAUUCCUUGUCGGGUAAGUUCCGACCUGCACGAAUGGCGUAAUGAUGGCCAGGCUGUCUCCACCCGAGACUCAGUGAAAUUGAACUCGCUGUGAAGAUGCAGUGUACCCGCGGCAAGACGGAAAGACCCCGUGAACCUUUACUAUAGCUUGACACUGAACAUUGAGCCUUGAUGUGUAGGAUAGGUGGGAGGCUUUGAAGUGUGGACGCCAGUCUGCAUGGAGCCGACCUUGAAAUACCACCCUUUAAUGUUUGAUGUUCUAACGUUGGCCCGUUAUCCGGGUUGCGGACAGUGUCUGGUGGGUAGUUUGACUGGGGCGGUCUCCUCCUAAAGAGUAACGGAGGAGCACGAAGGUUGGCUAAUCCUGGUCGGACAUCAGGAGGUUAGUGCAAUGGCAUAAGCCAGCUUGACUGCGAGCGUGACGGCGCGAGCAGGUGCGAAAGCAGGUCAUAGUGAUCCGGUGGUUCUGAAUGGAAGGGCCAUCGCUCAACGGAUAAAAGGUACUCCGGGGAUAACAGGCUGAUACCGCCCAAGAGUUCAUAUCGACGGCGGUGUUUGGCACCUCGAUGUCGGCUCAUCACAUCCUGGGGCUGAAGUAGGUCCCAAGGGUAUGGCUGUUCGCCAUUUAAAGUGGUACGCGAGCUGGGUUUAGAACGUCGUGAGACAGUUCGGUCCCUAUCUGCCGUGGGCGCUGGAGAACUGAGGGGGGCUGCUCCUAGUACGAGAGGACCGGAGUGGACGCAUCACUGGUGUUCGGGUUGUCAUGCCAAUGGCACUGCCCGGUAGCUAAAUGCGGAAGAGAUAAGUGCUGAAAGCAUCUAAGCACGAAACUUGCCCCG
RNAcentral lists this ribosomal RNA (2203 nucleotides) under Escherichia coli. Its description in RNAcentral is "partial 23S ribosomal RNA". It matches the Rfam family "Bacterial large subunit ribosomal RNA", at positions 614 to 2801 of the family's 2925-position model. Lineage: Bacteria; Pseudomonadati; Pseudomonadota; Gammaproteobacteria; Enterobacterales; Enterobacteriaceae. The record is from RNAcentral.